GGUACGGCGGUUAAGACAUAACGAGUUACAGCUUACGUUAAGAAGUUCAUGGGAGCUUUUGCGAUGGUUUCAAAUUCAAGGGUUAAAUUGCAAUUGACCCCGAAUUAGAUAAAGUGCCCCGUCUCCAGCAGAGAGAGCAGAGCAACAGGAGAAACAAUUGCGAACCGGCAGACGUCGAAACAAAGUUCGAAAAACUAUCAAAAAUGGUGUGCCUAGCGUGUUUGUUGCCCCUAUUCCUGGUCCCAAUCGUCAACUUGUUGCCCCUCCUCUUCGAUUUCAUCAUGGGGAAAAUAUAUAGGUUAUUCGGUUGGGAAUAUCGGAAGCCGGAAAGGGCACCUCCAGCUUGUCCUUACAAGCCUUCUGCCACCAAACCAAACAGCAAUUCGGUUGCCAAAGCAGACUCUGUUGCUCCAGAUAAUAUACAGAAACCAGCUCUGAUAGAUGAUAGCAAGAAAGAUUGAAGUUGGAUUUUUAAUGUGUAGUGCCCGAAAUUAACAGGUGUGUAAGCCUCUGAGAAGAAAGGUUUCAUAUCUCUUGAUGGAGAAUUGUAUCAGAUCUCUUUGGUGAAUAAAGGUUGCUGAGACUAGCAAAUGCUAUCUGUGUCAUUAAGGAUGAUUUUGGUUUUCUAGAUCGACAUUUAGUUGUUUGAAGAUAGUAUUUUCCUAUAACAAACUAUAUGUAUACACAGGCACUUCGAGAAAGGACUUGAGAUGUGGAAACUAUUCCUGUCUGCAGCAAACCAGGAAAAGUUUCUCUUUCCUAUUGAGCUGACGGCAGUGUGUGUUUGUGUAUGCCGCAUGAUAAUGUGGUCCGACUUGGGCCAGUAGAAUUUGUUUCCACCAGGAGCCACACAAAUUUGGCCUCA
This is a long non-coding RNA of Coffea arabica (coffee), 865 nucleotides long. RefSeq lists it as uncharacterized. The record is from RefSeq and is a predicted model, not a curated record. Lineage: Eukaryota; Viridiplantae; Streptophyta; Magnoliopsida; Gentianales; Rubiaceae.